UGCAAUUAUAAAUCAUCUCAUUAAGAAUAAAAUAAAAAAUUUGAAGAUAAAUUAUUACUACAUAUGAAAGAGCGAGCAUAUUUCUUUUGGGAUUGAAAAAGUAUUUCUUGAAAUUAAAAUAUUUUGAGUUCAUCAAAAUUUUAUUCAUUUUAGCAAUGAGUUGUUAGCACGGGCGCUUCGCAUAUAAAGAAGUAAAAAAAAAAAAAAAAGUAGAAAGUUAUAUAGUAGUACAAAACUAGAAAAGAACGGAAAUUGAGUAAGGUCAAAAAAUCCAAAACCUAGUCCUAUUGCUUUCUCUCCAUCCGCCACAUCCCUCCACGUUUCCUUUGUCAAUUCUUAACACAAAUCUUUAUUACUCCAUAUCAAAAUAUUAUAAGGGGUUCCUUGGUGUUAUGCAAUGGAGAAGGCUAAUUGAUUUUUUUUUUUUAAUUACGCACUGAAGGGGCAAAAGUGUUGUAUAUAUUUUAAGUGAUGGCUCCUCUUGUAUUAUAUCUACAUCAACAAAAUCUCCACAGCUGAUAUGUUAUAGAUUUUGAACACUUUUUUUUUCUAUUUGAAUCUCAUUCUUUUUCUUGCGGAUCUCACUCUUUGUCACCAUAUUUUUUGGCUUCUAAUAUGCAAUUCAGGAGAUGCUUUUGAUGGAAUUAAUCUUGCUCAUUUUUCAAGGCAAAUUUAUGACAUUACUAGAGCAGCAAUGACAAACUGGGGCAGAUAUUGAUCAAAUUAAGAUGCAAUUGGAGGUUGUGUAGAGGAGAGAAAUCAGAAGAUCGUGGUGGUUCGAGUCUCAAGCAAGAUUAUGCUAUUGUAAUUGGUGUCAUAGAUGAAUUAUGUAUUGUGAAUGUUUGUAAAUUUAGAUAUGUAACAAUGUGUAACUUGAGACCUGUUUUGUAAUCCAAAACUUUUGAUUCAUAUAGAAGAAUUAUUCUGAUUAACAAUGCUUUGUGGCAUAUUCUUCAAUUUGU
Lycium barbarum (goji berry) is the source of this 962-nucleotide long non-coding RNA. RefSeq lists it as uncharacterized. The transcript has 3 exons. The record is from RefSeq and is a predicted model, not a curated record. Lineage: Eukaryota; Viridiplantae; Streptophyta; Magnoliopsida; Solanales; Solanaceae.